This 253-nucleotide ribosomal RNA is filed under the name uncultured bacterium. RNAcentral's name for it is "partial 16S ribosomal RNA". It matches the Rfam family "Bacterial small subunit ribosomal RNA", at positions 524 to 776 of the family's 1533-position model. The record is from RNAcentral.
UACGGGGGGGGCAAGCGUUGUUCGGAAUUACUGGGCGUAAAGGGCUCGUAGGUGGCCAACUAAGUCGGACGUGAAAUCCCUCGGCUUAACCGGGGAACUGCGUCCGAUACUGGUUGGCUUGAGUUUGGGAGAGGGAUGCGGAAUUCCAGGUGUAGCGGUGAAAUGCGUAGAUAUUGGGAGGAACACCGGUGGCGAAGGCGGCCCCCUGGACCGGUACUGACGCUGAGGCGCGAAAGCGUGGGUAGCAAACGGG